AUGGCACCUUGGGAUUUUGCUAUGCAACUUACCACACGUAAGACUCUGGUUUCUCUGGUUUUAUAUGCAUCUGAAGCUGUAUUUAACAAAUCAUCCACAAACGUUUCAUCGCUGGAAAAACUAAAAAGAACUGACUGGGUUGUUUUGGGGGUUGUUGGAACCACAGUUGGAGGUUCAGUUGUUUGUGUCGUUUCUGUUGCAGUAGUUGGAAGUGUUGUUGCAGUAGUAGGUGAGUUUGUCGUAAUCUCAGUUGUAGGUUCAGUUGUUUGUGUCGUUUCUGUUGAAGAGACAGUAGUUGGAAGUGUAGUUGCAGUAGUAGGAGAGUUUGUUGUAAUCUUAGUUGUAGGUUCAGUUGUUUGUGUCGUUUCUGUUGAAGAGACAGUAGUUGGAAGUGUUGUUGCAGUAGUAGGAGAGUUUGUUGUAAUCUUAGUUGUAGUUUCAGUUGUUUGUGUCGUUUCUGUUGAAGAGACAGUAGUUGGAAGUGUUGUUGCAGUAGUAGGAGAGUUUGUCGUAAUCUCAGUUGUAGGUUCAGUUGUUUGUGUCAUUUCUGUUGAAGAGACAGUAGUUGGAAGUGUAGUUGCAGUAGUAGGAGAGUUUGUUGUAAUCUUAGUUGUAGGUUCAGUUGUUUGUGUCGUUUCUGUUGAAGAGACAGUAGUUGGAAGUGUUGUUGCAGUAGUAGGAGAGUUUGUCGUAAUCUCAGUUGUAGGUUCAGUUGUUUGUGUCGUUUCUGUUGAAGAGACAGUAGUUGGAAGUGUAGUUGCAGUAGUAGGUGAGUUUGUUGUAAUCUUAGUUGUAGGUUCAGUUGUUUGUGUCGUUUCUGUUGAAGAGACAGUAGUUGGAAGUGUUGUUGCAGUAGUAGGAGAGUUUGUUGUAAUCUUAGUUGUAGGUUCAGUUGUUUGUGUCGUUUCUGUUGAAGAGACAGUAGUUGGAAGCGUAGUUGCAGUAGUAGGUGAGUUUGUCGUAACCACAGUGGUAGGUUCAGUUGUCUGUGUUGUUUCUGUUGAAGAAACAGUAGUUGGAAGUGUAGUUGCAGUAGCAGGAGAGUUUGUCGUAAACUCAGUUGUAGGUUCAGUUGUUUGUGUCGUUUCUGUAGAAGAGACAGUAGUUGGAAGUGUUGUUGCAGUAGUGGGAGAGUUUGUUGUAAUCUUAGUUGUAGGUUCAGUUGUCUGUGUCGUUUCUGUUGAAGAGACAGUAGUUGGAAGUAUAGUUGCAGUAGUAGGAGAGUUUGUCGUAAUCUCAGUUGUAGGUUCAGUUGUUUGUGUCAUUUCUGUUGAAGAGACAGUAGUUGGAAGUGUUGUUGCAGUAGUAGGUGAGUUUGUCGUAAUCUCAGUUGUAGGUUCAGUUGUCUGUGUCGUUUCUGUUGUUGAAACAGUAGUUGGAAGUGUUGUUGCAGUAGUAGGUGAGUUUGUCGUAACCACAGUGGUAGGUUCAGUUGUCUGUGUUGUUUCUGUUGAAGAAACAGUAGUUGGAAGUGUAGUUGCAGUAGUAGGAGAGUUUGUCGUAAGCUCAGUUGUAGGUUCAGUUGUUUGUGUCGUUUCUGUAGAAGAGACAGUAGUUGGAAGUGUUGUUGCAGUAGUAGGAGAGUUUGUUGUAAUCUUAGUGGUAGGUUCAGUUGUCUGUGUCGUUUCUGUUGAAGAGACAGUAGUUGGAAGUGUAGUUGCAGUAGUAGGAGAGUUUGUCAUAAUCUCAGUUGUAGGUUCAGUUGUUCGUGUCGUUUCUGUAGAAGAGACAGUAGUUGGAAGUGUUGUUGCAGUAGUAGGAGAGUUUGUCUUAAUCUCAGUGGUAGGUUCAGUUGUCUGUGUUGUUUCUGUUGAAGAAACAGUAGUUGGAAGUGUAGUUGCAGUAGUGGGAGAGUUUGUUGUAAUCUUAGUUGUAGGUUCAGUUGUCUGUGUCGUUUCUGUUGAAGAGACAGUAGUUGGAAGUGUAGUUACAGUAGUAGGAGAGUUUGUCGUAAUCUCAGUUGUAGGUUCAGUUGUUUGUGAUGUUUCUGUUGAAGAAACAGUAUUUGAAAGUGUUGUUGCAGUAGUAGGAGAGUUUGUCGUAAGCUCAAUUGUAGGUUCAGAUGUUUGUGUCGUUUCUGUAGAAGAGACAGUAGUUGGAAGUGUUGUUGCAGUAGUAGGAGAGUUUGUUGUAAUCUUAGUUGUAGGUUCAGUUGUCUGUGUCGUUUCUGUUGAAGUGACAGUAGUUGGAAGUGUAGUUGCAGUAGUAGGAGAGUUUGUCGUAAUCUCAGUUGUAGGUUCAGUUGUUUGUGUCGUUUCUGUAGAAGAGACAGUAGUUGGAAGUGUUGUUGCAGUAGUAGGAGAGUUUGUUGUAAUCUUAGUUGUAGGUUCAGUUGUCUGUGUCGUUUCUGUUGAGGAGACAGUAGUUGGAAGUAUAGUUGCAGUAGUAGGAGAGUUUGUCGUAAUCUCAGUUGUAGGUUCAGUUGUUUGUGUCGUUUCUGUUGUAGAGACAGUAGUUGGAAGUGUUGUUGCAGUAGUAGGUGAGUUUGUCGUAACCACAGUGGUAGGUUCAGUUGUCUGUGUUGUUUCUGUUGAAGAAACAGUAGUUGGAAGUGUAGUUGCAGUAGUAGGAGAGUUUGUCGUAAUCUCAGUUGUAGGUUCAGUUGUUUGUGUCGUUUCUGUAGAAGAGACAGUAGUUGAAAGUGUUGUUGCAGUAGUAGGAGAGUUUGUUGUAAUCUUAGUUGUAGGUUCAGUUGUUUGUGUCGUUUCUGUUGAAGAGACAGUAGUUGGAAGUAUAGUUGCAGUAGUAGGAGAGUUUGUCGUAAUCUCAGUGGUAGGUUCAGUUGUCUGUGUUGUUUCUGUUGAAGAAACAGUAGUUGGAAGUGUAGUUGCAGUAGUGGGAGAGUUUGUCGUAAUCUUAGUUGUAGGUUCAGUUGUCUGUGUCGUUUCUGUUGAAGAGACAGUAGUUGGAAGUAUAGUUGCAGUAGUAGGAGAGUUUGUCGUAAUCUCAGUUGUAGGUUCAGUUGUUUGUGUCGUUUCUGUUGAAGAGACAGUAGUUGGAAGUGUUGUUGCAGUAGUAGGUGAGUUUGUUGUAAUCUUAGUUGUAGGUUCAGUUGUUUGUGUCGUUUCUGUUGAAGAGACAGUAGUUGGAAGUAUAGUUGCAGUAGUAGGAGAGUUUGUCGUAACCACAGUGGUAGGUUCAGUUGUCUGUGUCGUUUCUGUUGAAGAAACAGUAGUUGGAAGUGUAGUUGCAGUAGUAGGAGAGUUUGACGUUAUCUCAGUUGUAGGUUCAGUUGUUUGUGUCGUUUCUGUUGAAGAGACAGUAGUUGGAAGUGUUGUUGCAGUAGUAGGUGAGUUUGUCGUAAUCUCAGUUGUAGGUUCAGUUGUUUGUGUCAUUUCUGUUGAAGAGACAGUAGUUGGAAGUGUUGUUGCAGUAGUAGGAGAGUCUGUCGUAAUCUCAGUUGUAGGUUCAGUUGUUUGUGUCAUUUCUGUUGAAGAGACAGUAGUUGGAAGUGUUGUUGCAGUAGUAGGUGAGUUUGUCGUAAUCUCAGUUGUAGGUUCAGUUGUUUGUGUCGUUUCUGUUGAAGAGACAGUAGUUGGAAGUGUAGUUGCAGUAGUAGGAGAGUUUGUCAUAAUCUCAGUUGUAGGUUCAGUUGUUUGUGUCGUUUCUGUAGAAGAGACAGUAGUUGGAAGUAUUGUUGCAGUAGUAGGAGAGUUUGUUGUAAUCUUAGUUGUAGGUUCAGUUGUCUGUGUCGUUUCUGUUGAAGAGACAGUAGUUGGAAGUGUUGUUGCAGUAGUAGGUGAGUUUGUCGUAAUCUCAGUUGUAGGUUCAGUUGUCUGUGUCGUUUCUGUUGAAGAGACAGUAGUUGGAAGCAUUGUUGCAGUAGUAGGUGAGAUUGUCGUAAUCUCAGUUGUAGGUUCAGAUGUUUGUGUCGUUUCUGUUGUAGAGACAGUAGUUGAAAGUGUAGUUGCAGUAGUAGGUGAGUUUGUCGUAAUCUCAGUUGUAGGUUCAGCUGUCUGUGUGGUUUCUGUUGAAGAGACAGUAGUUGGAAGUGUAGUUGCAGUAGUAGGUGAGUUUGUCGUAAUCUCAGUUGAAGGUUCAGUUGUCUGUGUCGUUUCUGUUGUAGAAACAGUAGUAGAAAGUGUAGUUGCAGUAGUAGGUGAGUUUGUCGUAAUCUCAGCUGAAGGUUCAGUUGUUUGUGUCGCUUCUGUUGUAGAAACAGUAGUAGGAAGUGUAGUUGCAGUAGUAGGUGAGUUUGUCGUAAUCUCAGUUGUAGGUUCAGUUGUCUGUGUCGUUUCUGUUGUUGAAACAGUAGUAGGAAGUGUAGUUGCAGUAGUAGGUGAGUUUGUCGUAAUCUCAGUUGUAGGUGAGUUUGUCGUAAUCUCAGUUGUAGGUUCAGUUGUUUGUGUCGUUUCUGUUGUAGAAACAGUAGUUGGAAGUGUAAUUGCAGUAGUAGGAGAGUUUGUCGUAACCACAGUUGUAUGUUCAGUUGUUUGUGUCGUUUCUAUUGAAGAAACAGUAGUUGGAAGUGUUGUUGCAGUAGUAGGAGAGUUUGUCGUAAACUCAGUUGUAGGUUCAGUUGUUUGUGUCGUUUCUGUAGAAGAGACAGUAGUUGGAAGUGUUGUUGCAGUAGUAGGAGAGUCUGUCGUAAUCUCAGUUGUAGGUUCAGUUGUUUGUGUCAUUUCUGUUGAAGAGACAGUAGUUGGAAGUGUAGUUGCAGUAGCAGGUGAGUUUGUCGUAAUCUCAGUUGUAGGUUCAGUUGUUUGUGUCGUAUCUGUUGAAGAGACAGUAGUUGGAAGUGUAGUUGCAGUAGUAGGUGAGUUUGUCGUAAUCUCAGUUGUAGGUUCAGUUGUUUGUGUCGUAUCUGUUGUAGAGACAGUAGUUGGAAGUGUAGUUGCAGUAGCAGGUGAGUUUUUCGUAAUCUCAGUUGUCGUUUCACUUGUCUGUGUCAUUUUUGUUGUAGAAACAGUAGUUGUAGAUUCUGUUGUAGUUGUUGAUUCUGUUGCUGUCAUUGUUUGUAUCGUGGUGCUACAUAAUACUGUUGUUAAAAAAAAGAAAAUCACAAUAAUUUUAGGGCAUUUUUACAUAUAAGUAAGUAAUAAGAGAUACAAAGAUUUUGGAUGGUAAUUAACUUACAGACCUAUACU
Molecule: long non-coding RNA, 5087 nt
Organism: Carassius auratus (goldfish)
Lineage: Eukaryota; Metazoa; Chordata; Actinopteri; Cypriniformes; Cyprinidae
Source: Ensembl